Eurytemora carolleeae is the source of this 2672-nucleotide RNA transcript. It is a transcript of the gene named glutamyl aminopeptidase, with no coding region annotated. The transcript has 30 exons. The record is from RefSeq and is a predicted model, not a curated record. NCBI's taxonomy places the organism in Eukaryota, Metazoa, Arthropoda, Copepoda, Calanoida, Temoridae.
UCAAGGUAACCCAGGAGCAGAUUUUAUAAUUUUCCACUCGAAGGGUCUAGAAAUCACGAGUAAGACGAUCAACGAAAAAUUAAAAGUUCAAAGAAUUAUUGAGUAUAAGGCCAGGGAUCAAGUCUACCUAGAAACUGAUCAGCCAAUGAAACCUGGAAAGACCUACAGUAUCAGGUUAAAGUUUAUGUACAACCUGACUGAAGGGCUGGAUGGGUUCUACCUGUCAACCUACAAGGAUAAAGAUGGACAAGUCAGAACCCUGGCAACAACUCACUUCGAGCCAACGUCAGCCAGGAAGGCGUUCCCAUGUUUUGAUGAACCUCAGCUUAAAGCUAAAUUCUUAAUCACCAUCACACAUUCUAGGUCCCUCCAAUCCUUUUCAAAUAUGCCAAAGAAAGAAGAAUCAGAUGUACGGGGUAAAAACGAUCAGGAGAUGAGAGUCGGAUCAACUAAAGUUCGAUCGGAGUUUAUGGAGUCUCUAGAAAUGUCGACUUACCUUGUCGCUUUUGUGGUUUGUGAUUUCGACAUUAUUGAGAAAAAAACGGACUCAAAUGUUACUAUCAGAGUAAUCGCAGCCCAUGACAAGAUAUCCCAAGCCAAGUUUGCCCUGGACCAAGCAGUUCAAAUCACCCAGAACUACGAGAGAUAUUUCGGAAUUCCGUUCCCUUUACCAAAACAAGACUUGAUAGCGAUACCAGACUUUGAGGCGGGAGCAAUGGAGAACUGGGGACUUAUAACAUACAGGGAAACAGCUUUGUUGAAUGAGGAAGGCGUAUCAAGUUCAUUAGACACACAAUGGGUUGCUGUUGUAAUUGCUCAUGAACUAGCUCAUCAGUGGUUUGGAAAUCUUGUGACUAUGCAGUGGUGGAAUGAUCUCUGGUUAAAUGAAGGAUUUGCUUCGUGGAUGGAAUACAAGGGUGUGGAUGAGGUAGAACCUGAUUGGAAAAUGAUGGAUCAGUUUUGGAUCAAUGAAGUUGAACCAGCUCUUGAUCUUGAUUCACUACAAUCCUCUCAUCCAAUUAGUGUUCAGGUUCAGGAACCCAGUGAAAUAUCAGCUUUAUUUGACUAUAUAUCAUAUAGAAAAGGAGCAUCUAUUAUUCAUAUGCUGGAACAGUUCUUAGGAGAAGAGCAUUUAAGGAAAGGACUGGAAAUAUAUCUGAAAAAGAACAAAUUCAAGAAUACUGUAACCAAGGAUCUCUGGAAUGCAUGCACUGAAGCCACCAACAACACUAAAGAUGUCAUGGGUAUGAUGAACACCUGGACCCUGCAGAUGGGGUACCCUCUGAUCAUCUUCUCCAGGAUUGGGAACUCCUCUGUCUGGAACAUAACCCAGUCAAGGUUCCUCCUGGCUGGACAGUUAAAUGGAACCAACUCUAGCCUGCCAGCAAGUCCAUACAACUAUAAAUGGAAUGUUCCGGUCAGCUUCAAGACAAAUCUAGGUCACAGCCGUGAAAUUCUUCUUGGUUCAAAGGAUAAUGACACGAGCAAGGUGGUAACCUUAGAUGAGAAGAUCAAAUGGAUAAAGGGAAACACAGAUGGGGUUGGUUUCUACAGAGUUAAUUACCCUACACAGAUAUGGACUAUGCUGAUUAAUCAGCUGAACACAGAUUUGUCUGUGUUUUCUGGAGCUGACAGAGCACAGCUGAUAGAUGAUGCUUUUUCAUUAUGUAUGGCAGGUCUACUUCCUGUGUCUGUACCUGUAUCUCUAUCUACCUAUCUUGUAAAAGAAACUGAUCUAGUUCCUUGGAAGAUAGCUUUAAGGCAUCUAAAAUCUUGGAAGGCUUUAUUAAGUGAUGGUCCUGGUGGUUCAGCAGUUGAUGCAUUUAUUAGUUUUCUUGUUGAGAAUAUAUAUAAGAAGCUAGGCUGGUUUGAGGCUGGAACUCAUGAACAAAGGUUAUUACGUACAGUUGUACUCUCAGCAGCUGUAGAUGCUGGACUAAAAGAUGCUGUGGACAGAAGUAAACAGAUCUUUACAGAUGUCAUGGAUAACCAGUCAAAAAUAUCAUCCGAACUACAGGGAUUUGUUUACUGUACAGGGGUACGUGAAGGAGGGGAGGAGGAAUGGAACUGGAUUUUUAAAAAGUACAUCUCAACAAACAUUCCGGCAGAGAAAUCCCACUUUCUCAAGGCCCUGGCCUGUUCAAAGGAUAUUUUCACACUUCAGAGAUUUCUUGAUAAAACAUUGGACAAAUCACAGAUUCGGCAUCAGGAUGUGAAAAGUGUUCUGACCAGCACAGCGAUGAAUCCAGCUGGUACACUUCUAGCUUGGAGACAGUACAGGAAAUUCUGGGACAGGUACAACAAGAUGUUUGGUGAUGGUAUGACGAACAUGGGAAAUAUUGGUGCUGGAAUCAUCUCAACCUUUUCAUCUAGCUUCGACCUAGAACAGGUUGAAGAUUUUUUCGAAAAACAUGAGACUGGGGGAGGCAAGCGAGCCAUAGAUCAAGCUGUUGAAAAGAUCAAGGUUAAUAUAAGAUUUGUCGAACUGUCGGCUGAAAGUGUGGUGGGUGAAGUAAAUAUAAUUGUUAACAGAAGAAAAAACUUGGCCUAGGAGAUUAAAGUUAAAUUUGAUAAAAAAUCUAUUUAUUUACAUGUUAAUACUGGAGUAUUACUGAUUUUAUCUACUGAUAUAUAUAUAACGCACUAAAUGUAGAAUAAAGACUACAAUAUAA